AACGAACGCUGGCGGCAUGCCUAACACAUGCAAGUCGAACGAGACCUUCGGGUUUAGUGGCGCACUGGUGCGUAACGCGUGGGAACCUGCCCUUAGGUUCGGAAUAACGCCCCGAAAGGGGUCCUAAUACCGGAUAAUGUCUUCGGUCCAAAGAUUUAUCGCCUUUGGAUGGGCCCGCGUUGGAUUAGCUAGUUGGUAGGGUAAAAGCCUACCACGGCGACGAUACGUAGCUGGUCUGAGAGGAUGAUCAGCCACACUGGCGCUGAGACACGGCCCAGAAUCCUACGGGAGGCAGCAGUGGGGAAUAUUGGACAAUGGGCGAUAGCCUGAUCCAGCAAUGCCGCGUGAGUGAUGAAGGCCUUAGGGUUGUAAAGUUCUUUUACCCGGGAUGAUAAUGACAGUACCGGGAGAAUAAGCUCCGGCUAACUCCGUG
Molecule: ribosomal RNA, 433 nt
Filed under: uncultured bacterium
Lineage: Bacteria
Description: partial 16S ribosomal RNA
Rfam family: Bacterial small subunit ribosomal RNA
Source: RNAcentral